This 305-nucleotide ribosomal RNA is filed under the name uncultured bacterium. Its description in RNAcentral is "bacterial SSU rRNA". It matches the Rfam family "Bacterial small subunit ribosomal RNA", at positions 338 to 640 of the family's 1533-position model. The record is from RNAcentral.
CCUACGGGAGGCAGCAGUGAGGAAUAUUGGUCAAUGGGCGAGAGCCUGAACCAGCCAAGUCGCGUGAAGGAUGACGGCCCUACGGGUUGUAAACUUCUUUUGUCAGGGAGCAAUUGAGUCCACGUGUGGGCUUAGCGAGAGUACCUGAAGAAAAAGCAUCGGCUAACUCCGUGCCAGCAGCCGCGGUAAUACGGAGGAUGCGAGCGUUAUCCGGAUUUAUUGGGUUUAAAGGGUGCGUAGGCGGAAUAUCAAGUCAGCGGUAAAAAUUCGGGGCUCAACCCCGCUCCGCCGUUGAAACUGGCGUU